AGUUCCCAAGCUGCAAGGCUAUAAAAAGGUCCUCCCCAGGACUGCCCCUGAAAGCCUCCAGAUUCCAAUGAAUUUUGACUCCAUUGGAAGUGAAAGUCAGGGUCCCUCAGGAUUAAAGACUCUUAGGCUUAAGGGCUGUUAGAUUUCCAGAGAAACCUAUCAAAUAACCUUUUUUUUUUUUUCCACAAAAGUGGACACGGAUCUUGGGAAUGGAAGGUACUUGUAUAUCCAUAUACAGGUUUGGCCCGAACCAAAGCCAGGAGGUGUUGGGGGAGGACUGGGCUUCUACCCCAGUCUCCAUGAUGGCCCUCAGCCUUAAUUAGCAGCCUCCUGCAAAAUGAAACAAUGUGCUUGUUCCAAAGGGUAAGAUAAAGGUCCUGACAGCUGCCCCUCACUUCCAAUCAGAUGUGGUCCUCAAAUCCCUGCAUAGAGAAACUCACCGAAACAGCACAGAGAAACACACAGACAUACUCACAAAGCAUACAGAGACAUACCCAGAUAGGUACGACACACACACACACACACACACACACACACACACACACACACACGGUUGGAGGUUCUGCUUGGAGUCACACGGCACACAAGAUUGCUGUCAAGAAAGCCUGUCCAUAAAUAGUGGCUGUACACCCUCCUCACUUACAAUUCAGGGAAAAGAAGAGCGGGGAAGGAAAGGAGGAAAAACAACAACAACAAAAGCCACGACAGAGAACGGGAAAAGGCAGAGACUGAAAGCGAAGGACCGUCGGAGGAGGAGGGCGAGAGGCCCUUUGACGGACUCUGAGGAGCUAGAGAUGGUUAAAGUCUGGCUGAACCUAGGCCCUGGAAGAACCUUGGACUGCCUUCCCCAGUGUAGACACCAGGACUUAUUAAUGACAGAGAAGAUGGUGUGGGAAGUUCAGCCGAGAAGAUAAUGUCUUCACUUUUGUUUUUUUCAUUUUCUUCCUCAACAGACAUUUAUGCAGUGUGUGAUUCUUUCUAAAACAACUCCCUGGAAGAGAGGACAUUUAAUUCAACAAUUUAUUGGCCACCUACUGUGCACCAGGCAGUGAACUUGGAACUGGGGCUACUGGGUUACAGCAGUGACCAAGACAGAGGUCCCUGUUCUUAAGGAGCAAGUGAGGGCAACAGAAAAGAGCAGUCAGCUGUCAUGCGAGGGCACUCAAGCAGCCCUGUGGAAAGCUCUACGUGGUGAGAAACUGAAGCCUCCUGCCAACACCAACAAGGAACUGAGACCUACUUCCAACAGCCAUCUGAGUGAUCGAUCCAUCCUGGAAUCAGAUCCUCCAGCCCCAGUCAAGUCUUCAGAUGACUGCAGCCCUGACCAGCAUCUCAACUGCAACCUCGUGAAUGACCCUGAGCCAGAACCAUGCAACUAAACUCUGCGUGGAUUCAUGACCCACAGAAACUGUGAGAUGGUAGCUGUUUGCUUUGUUAAGCCUCUAAGUCUGGAAAGAAUGUCUUAAGCAGUAGCAGACAAUGAACACAAGAUUAUUAUUCAGCUGUUGAAUUGGAAGAGGAGGGGAAGAAAAAAUUUUCAGAUCACAAAAUAUUCAUUGUGUAAAACUUCAAAAAUUCUGAAAUUUAAGGAAAAAAUAUCAUUUGUUGGGAAUUUGUUGGGAUUCAUUGUCUCAGUGCCAAGAGACACCCACUCUUUUUUUUUUUUUGAGACAGAGUCCUGCUCUGUUGCCCAGGCUGAAGGGCAGUGGCACGAUCUCAGCUCACCACAACCUCUGCCUCCCGGGUUCAAGUGAUUCUCCUCCCUAAGCCUCCCAAGUGGCUGGGACUACAGGCAUGCAUCACCAUGCCCGGCUAAUUUUUGUAUUUUUAGUAGAGACGGGGUUUCACUAUGUUGGCCGGCUGAUCUCAAACUCUUGACCCCGUGAUCCGCCCGCAUCAGCCUCCCAAAGUGCCGGGAUUACAGGCAUGAGCCACUGCGCCCGGCCGAGACACUCACUCUUAACAUUUUGGUAUAUUUU
This 1979-nucleotide long non-coding RNA is filed under the name Homo sapiens (human). RNAcentral's name for it is "HSALNT0263214". Lineage: Eukaryota; Metazoa; Chordata; Mammalia; Primates; Hominidae. The record is from RNAcentral.